This 358-nucleotide long non-coding RNA is filed under the name Vigna radiata. Its description in RNAcentral is "long non-coding RNA (VRAD_LNC013277)". The record is from RNAcentral. Lineage: Eukaryota; Viridiplantae; Streptophyta; Magnoliopsida; Fabales; Fabaceae.
AAUUGGAAAGCGAGGAAAUGAAAAGCAACUGUGUUUGCAUUAACAGAUUCGGAAGGAAUGAUUUUUGCUGAUUUGCAGGAUGAGGUGCUUUUUCUCAUCCUUGUAAUGUGAAAAUAUUUGAGAAUAAUUGUAGUAAAAAAUCUCUUUUACCCCUGAUACAAACGCACAAUUACUCCUCCACUUUCCUCUUGCCCACCUCUCUUUCUUCCACAUGAUAUUUAUCCAAGCAGCAACCCCCAACUUUUCUUCAUCUCCUUAUUUCUAUUUCUUCACCUCCUAAUUUUUAUUAUUCAAAUACAAUUUUUUACUUUAUUUCUCUUCUACUUUCAUUUAUUAUAUAUCUUUUCCAUACUUUAAU